Molecule: long non-coding RNA, 253 nt
Organism: Puntigrus tetrazona (Sumatra barb)
Lineage: Eukaryota; Metazoa; Chordata; Actinopteri; Cypriniformes; Cyprinidae
Exons: 3
Source: RefSeq, a predicted model, not a curated record
AUUGAUAGAGACUGAGCCUGCUGUGAGGGACACAGCUGAAAGGAGAGUCUUCACAGAGAGUCAAGUGACUUUUAUUUUGUAUUUUGGCAGAGUUCAGUCAAAUAUCAGGCAAAAACCUGCAAACCGAAUUCUUUCAGGAACCGGACAGAUUCACAGACCGUUUCAUUGAUAUUUUCACGUCCAAAAGAGGAGCAAUUGGCUGUAAACUGAAGAACAUUCUACAGCAGAUUGAUAAAUCUGACAUCAAUGGCCG